AUUUUGAUCAAGCCCAUGAAAAUGCAGCAAAAUCGAAUUUGGCUUCCAUAUCUAUCUCACUGCCCAUCAAGAGAGAAACAACGAAAGCCAUUGUUGAAGCACAAGAGGGAUGCAAUUCCUACUCCAAACGGGUAUGGAUUCGACCUUAAAAUCAUCCUCUUCGUCGGCAUCGAUUACACCAUCACUGCUUUCAAUUCUCACAAAGAGAAAUUGCUACAGAAAAAGGAAGAGAACAGGAUGCACUUACUGGGAUCAAUGGCUGAUCUGGGAAGGUUCACCAGUAUGAUAAGAAGAAAUAAAAAACCAAGGUUGAAGAGAAAGUUUAUUCGGACACUGAGCCAUUCCAUUGUGGCAGAGUUGUAAAAUGCAACACGAGAGUAGCAAUCAAUGAGGCUCAGAUUCUUCUUCAACAAUCUGUCUUCCUGAUUGAAGCAGCGAAUUGUUACUACCCCACUGAUUGAUUCUGAGAAGUGAUGUUGAACUGGAGCUUUCUGAGUGCCAACCAUCCUAGCAAGUUCUCUAGCAGUGGUUCUUGUAAUCUUGGAGGAGAUUGUUUUUACCUGAUACCAUAUGGAGAUGGCAAUUAUGAUGAGGAAGAUGAAAAAGACUGGCCAGGCAGCCUGGGACAUAAGAACUAUGAUACUUAGUAAUUGAAUAAGUGCAAAUACUAGCCCUGCCAAUCUAUAUGGAAUAUCUGUAUCCACCGUGCUUUGAUCUGUGGAGGACUGAAAGGGAAGAAGAGAUAAGUUAGAAUUUGAUCUGAACUUCUGAUAUUAAAAGAAAUACACUAAAAGAGAUUUUCUGUAUUUGUGUAUGUACUAACACGAUUGAGAAUUCUGCUUGAAGGUGUGGAGUCAAAGAAUGACAAAGGUGCUCGAAAGACUGAUUUGGCCAUCUGAACAAAGAGCUGCUGAGCAGUCUCAAUUGCAAUGGUCGAAAGCAAAACUGCCCUUCCCAAGAUAAAGAUGGAGCUUCCCCCAGAUAACAAGACAAAUAUCCUGAGCAAUUUCGCUCUGGACAUCCUGCCUUCUGUCUCUGUUCCCCAUGUAAUCCAGUAAUUGCUUGCAAUUUGCAGCCCUUGGAAGAGGAUGUGGCACAGAAGGACAGGGGCAACAAGAUAUCCUUUAUAUGCAGCAGUGAGAAAUAUGGAGUAUACUUUCCAUUUAACUCUUCCAGUUUCUGUCUCUUCCUGAUUUCUCUCAAACAGCUGAUCACUGCCGAGUUGCAGGUGAGUGUAAUCUUAGCAUACCAAGAUCAGGUCUGAAGCAUCUAAAAAUUCCAACUGAUGGGUGGCAUAAAUAACAGUUUUGCUGCAUAAGCUCUCCAUGAGACAUUUCUGCAAAGUGAUUUCCAGAUUGAAUGUGUUAUCAAAUCAUUAAGAAAACUGAGUGAUGUAUAAACAGAUUUUACUUGCCUUGAAGAUAUGAGCGCCGGUUUUUGCAUCAACAGCACUGAAAGGAUCGUCUAGUAAAUAGAUGUCUGAGUCACUGUACAUUGCCCUUGCCAGCUGAACUCUUUGCUUCUGUCCCCCACUUAAGUUUAUUCCUCUUUCUCCCACUAGAUUUGUGCAACUAGUGCUUUGGAGCCAUAUGAUUUGAUACUUGAUCCAGAAACCUUUGGAAUCUCUCCCAUGAUGCUGCACAGUAAGCUUGAUUUGCCAGAACCAACCGAACCACAUAUUGCGACCUUGCUUCCUUUUUUGAUUGUUAUUUUAUGAUUUAUCUUAAUUGUUGAUUUCUUGGAAUCAUCAUACUCCCAAGCAUAUUCUCCAGGCUCAAUUUCAAGUGCGACUUCAGAUGUGUCAGAAGCGUGAUAGCUGGUUAGCUUCUGUUGGUCUUCCUCUCCAAUGAACUCUUGCAUCCGUCUAACUGAAACCUUUGUUUGCACCACUGUGGAGAUGAGCUCUGGGAGAUUAUAUAUGGGCUCUUGUAAAAUCCGGAAAGUUGCUAGAGCUGAAAGAACCGUGCCCGCUGUUAAUGGCGUGUUUGUCACAACACAAACGCCAAAGGUCACGACUGAAACUAAAGUCGGGGAAGCCCAAAAGAGGAAAGCCACAGCGGAACAUGUAUAAAGAUUUCAGAUGUGGCCUUAAUCCUCGAGUCCUUGGCUUCCAUGAUCUUCGUCUGAAGCUUCUUCUGCAUACUGGCAAACGGGAUAUUGCUCAACAUCACAACGAUCGUCGCAACAAAAGCAGCCGCGGAAGGAGCAGCACCCAAGUUCAUGUACAAGAUGAGCAAUGCAAAAAUGACCUGAAAGGGAAGUAACCAAAUCCAAUGGAUGAACAUGAAGAAGUCCCCAAUCCUCUCCACAUCAACAUUGAGGAAAUUAAUGACUUUCCCUGUGCUCACACUGCCAUGCUUAACUGUCAAAGACUUCUUGUAGGUCAAAGCCAUGAGAGCUGCUCUCACUCUAAUCCCAAUGCGGUGAGCCCCAAAAUACCAUUGCCUUUGGGCAAGGGAUUCCACCAUCUUUGCAAUGAAGAAGAUGAAUGAGAGAAGCAAUCCCUUUUGCCAGUUUGAAUUGUCAUGCUUUUCUGACAAGAACUUCACAAAGCUUGUGAUUAGCAAAGGGCCGAUAUAGGAAGCUAUCGUGUUGGUUCCUAUACAAACGAACAGAAAUUUAUGUUAGUACUGUUUAUGCUAAACAUAAAAACCCCUCCAUGUUUAACGUCC
This is a long non-coding RNA of Ipomoea nil (Japanese morning glory), 2672 nucleotides long. RefSeq lists it as uncharacterized. NCBI's taxonomy places the organism in Eukaryota, Viridiplantae, Streptophyta, Magnoliopsida, Solanales, Convolvulaceae. The transcript is spliced from 6 exons. The record is from RefSeq and is a predicted model, not a curated record.